ACUCCAGGUGAGUGGGUCUUUUCCUUUUUAUAGUGUGUGUGUGUGUGUGUGUGUGUGUGUGUGUGUGUGUGUGUGUGUGUGUGUGAUUGAUAGUUUCCAUUUAUGCAAUUGAAAAAGAAUUCCUUAUGUACGUCUGGAUUUAACUAAAGUUUAUAAGAAUUAGCGAAAUGAAGAGACUUAUGAAAUAUGCUACAACCUACGGGGUGCACAUGUAUGGUAUGAUUAUUGAUGUCAUAAUUAUGUUUACAACUAUGAAUGAUAGUAUGUUGAUUAAAAUUAUUGAAUGGUUAUGGCAUGCUUAUAUUCAUACAGUAUGCUCAUCAUUGCUACACCCAGGUGUUAGUGCUCAGCCAAAGGCCAGGCUAGUCUUUCACGUGUUGUUCACAUCACCAUCGCAUGCUCGCCUUGGA
RNAcentral lists this long non-coding RNA (410 nucleotides) under Malus domestica (apple). RNAcentral's name for it is "long non-coding RNA (MDOM_LNC017691)". The record is from RNAcentral. Lineage: Eukaryota; Viridiplantae; Streptophyta; Magnoliopsida; Rosales; Rosaceae.